This is a long non-coding RNA of Rosa chinensis, 352 nucleotides long. RefSeq lists it as uncharacterized. NCBI's taxonomy places the organism in Eukaryota, Viridiplantae, Streptophyta, Magnoliopsida, Rosales, Rosaceae. The record is from RefSeq and is a predicted model, not a curated record. The transcript is spliced from 2 exons.
UGUUGCAGGUAAUUGCUCCUCCUCUCUUUGCUGAAAUUUAUUGGCUGUUGCAAUUCUGAUAAAACAACUAGUUGGUUGUUGCAAUUUCUUUUGAUGGUGCUCUGAAUCCAUAUUGGGAGCUUUUGAUUGAUGAUGUUCCUGUGGUGGAUCCCAAACCGGAGCAGCCCAAGAUUCAAGUCAUUCAACAAGAUGGUGGCAAUAUAUCAUGUAAAAAGAAAUAUAGAACAGUCAGAUACAAACCAGAGUUAUCAGAAGGUAAAUAUUACCUCCUUUCUUCUUCUUGUACUGUUGCAUGAUUGUUUUGAUUGAGAACGUCUUCUUUCUUGUUUAAUUUGAUUGUUUUCUUAAAACC